GACGAACGCUGGCGGCGUGCCUAAUACAUGCAAGUCGAGCGAGCUUGCCUAGAUGAUUUUAGUGCUUGCACUAAAUGAAACUAGAUACAAGCGAGCGGCGGACGGGUGAGUAACACGUGGGUAACCUGCCCAAGAGACUGGGAUAACACCUGGAAACAGAUGCUAAUACCGGAUAACAACACUAGACGCAUGUCUAGAGUUUGAAAGAUGGUUCUGCUAUCACUCUUGGAUGGACCUGCGGUGCAUUAGCUAGUUGGUAAGGUAACGGCUUACCAAGGCAAUGAUGCAUAGCCGAGUUGAGAGACUGAUCGGCCACAUUGGGACUGAGACACGGCCAG
Molecule: ribosomal RNA, 338 nt
Filed under: uncultured bacterium
Lineage: Bacteria
Description: bacterial SSU rRNA
Rfam family: Bacterial small subunit ribosomal RNA
Source: RNAcentral